GAAAAGAAAACAAAAAUAGACUAAAAGUAGGACUCCCCCGUACCUUUUGCAUCAUGGCUAUACAAUAAAAUUGGCACCGCCACCACCCCGAACCUUGAUAGAGCUGUUUGAGCCCCGUUUAGAACAUAAGAAAAAAUGUAGAAAGAUUUUUUCCAGAGGCUCCCACAGAGGCUACAUACCAUCCGCGACAAGAAAUAGCUGGCUCUACCCUAACCCCAUCAAAGUGGAAAAAACAGACCCCGAAAACUGUUGUUCAAACCAAUAAAGGAUAAGCUUUAUUGUCCAAGCAAUAAACCACAACAAACAAAACCCGUAGACCUAGUAGUGGCCACCGAACUUAAUGUGUAAUAACUUAUUUUAAAACGUAAAACUAAUUAAUUAAAAAUAAUGCUAACAAAAAGGGUAGAACUUAUCCAAACCUAAAAAUAUUAAUACAAUGUAUAGAUUACUACUAAACUUGCUUCCCCCCAAUUAACCCUAACACAUAAAAAAGGAACUCGGCAAACCCGGGCCCCGACUGUUUACCAAAAACAUUGCCUGCUGCUCACCCAAUAGCAGGUAUAUUCUGCCCAGUGAAUAAUUCAACGGCCGCGGUACCCUGACCGUGCAAAGGUAGCAUAAUCACUCGCCUCUUAAUUAGAGGCUGGAAUGAACGAACCAACGUGAGCCCCCCUGUCUCUUUUAUGAACACGAAACUUAACCUCUAGGUGAAAAGGCCUAGAUAUAAUUAAUAGACAAGAAGACCCUAUCGAGCUUCAUUGCUAAAUCCUUGUUUAAACUAUACUAAUUAACUUUUUACAAGGCCCACGCCAUUUUGUUGGGGCAACAAAGGAACACCCAAAGCUUCCUUAUAUCAAUAUAAAUAUCUACCAAUGACCCAGAAAACUGAUCAAAGGAAAAAGCUACCGUAGGGAUAACAGGUUAAUUUUUCUCGAGAGCCCACAUCAACAGAAAAGUUUGACACCUCGAUGUUGGCUUAGGCUAUCCUAAUAAUGCAGAAGUUAUUAACGGUGGGUUUGUUCAACCCUUAAUAGCCUACAUGAGCUGAGUUCAGACCGGCGCAAGCCAGGUUAGCUUCUAUCUUUAACCUAAACCUCCCUUGUUUGUACGAAAGGACCACAAGAGAUAAAUAAAUUUAAAAAAAUGAACCCCUAUAAACAAAACUUCACUUCAAUCACAUUUAUG
This 1185-nucleotide ribosomal RNA is filed under the name Cryptonome barbada. RNAcentral describes it as "16S ribosomal RNA". It matches the Rfam family "Bacterial large subunit ribosomal RNA", at positions 584 to 2759 of the family's 2925-position model. The record is from RNAcentral. Lineage: Eukaryota; Metazoa; Annelida; Polychaeta; Eunicida; Amphinomidae.